GCGGCGGCUCCGCGCCCCGGCCGUGCCCGCGCUCGUUCCGCGUCCCUCGGCCGGGCCCGGCUCCGCAGCAGCGUGAGGAUGCCAGAGACAUACCGGAGCAGAAGCCAGAAGGUGCAUCUUCAAACGCACCCCAGCCUGGAGAAGCUAUGGCAAAGCAAUCAUGUACCCCGAUAACAAACCCCCAAGACCUAACCCUCACCCCAGCCUUGCUGGGAGCGGUAAGCACCCUGCCCUGCUUAUGGUGAAAAACACCUCCUGCGAGCCAAAUAGAUGCCUGCUCAUUUUACAAAAUCUUUUCUGACUUCGACGGGCUCUUGACCAGCAGGUGACACAUCCUCGGGCCUAUGAGCUCCGAGGGUGUUGCUUUCCCAUAAGUGGUUGCUCUCUGAGAAGCCCCAGUAGCCUCUGAGCCCAAGGGGGCUCUGGGGGAUUGGGGGGGGGGGGGGGGGGGGUGUUCUCCUGCAGGCUCCGUUUUGCCAUCCUCCCGCCAGCCUGCAGGUAGGCUUUCCUGUUCAUAGGUAGGCUUGUGGUGCUCGUAGGAAGGUGACAUCCAGCUCCAAGUCUGUGGUUAAUCAAGCCUGCUUGGUGAAGUUGAACAAUUUAAUCAGUGCCUGACGAAGCCUUGGAUAUAUCUCUGUUAUAUCAAAUUGUCUUCAAAUGUAAAGCAGUCGUCAGACGCGAGAUGUGGGGGAAGUAACAAGACACUGGCAGUUCCUGCCCUGGUCCUGGGAGAAAUGCUGUGUGGCUGCACCGCAGUACAGCCAUUCGAGCACGGCAGCCUGUACUGGUGUGUGUGGCCACGUCAAGGCCGAGGUGAUGCUCCUGUUCCCAGGACGCUCUCGAGCUAUUUACCAGAUCACAGCUUGGGUAUGCAUUACUUAGCAACCCUUGCCAGGAACGCUUUUCCUUUGCUUGGUGAGAAGGCUGGAACUCUUCCUUCAAGGACACUGUCAGAUAACUGCCCUGUUGCUUGUGUGCAGAGUUUUUGCGAUACAGUGGCAGGACGAUGGGAUCUGAAGGCCCCUCAGAUGUGGCACUGAACGGCACUGUGUGGGUUUGUCCUGUUUCUUGCAGGAAACAUGCCCCACCCAUGCUUCAUGCCCUGCCCAGCCUGCUGCUUCAUCUACAGGUGUAGAAGAAGGGUGGGGUUUUUUUGGUUAAGAUGUUACUGUCUUGGGACCUGGUUAUUUUAGCAAGUUUUUUUCCAGUUCCAAGUUAACACUACGAUUCUGAUGAGUUGAAGCACAGAAAAUGGUAUCCCCGUCCUGCCUGUUGUUUUCUUGGUCAAGCCUAGACUGUAUUUAUUGCUUCUCAAACGGUAGCUGGGUUUGCCGGGCUUUCAGAUCUUCCCUGGGGUGACAGUGCUGACUGUCCACGCUAGAAUUGGCAAGUAGAGUUGAAGUUAUGUGCUUUGUGAGUAAUAUGGUAAUUUUUUUUCUGAGUACCAGUUCGAUUAAACAGUUUUGUGGGUUGUUGUUUUUUUGUUUGUUUUUUUUUGUUUUUUUUUUAAAUGAGAUUAAUGGUGCUUAAAACAUAAAAAGAAAGUAAUUAGACAUAAAAUAGGGCGUUUAUUUAUAGUGGUCUAAUUGAAGCGGCUCCAGUUGUUAGUGUUAAAACAGUAUAAUCUCCUUAUGGUGCAGGCAGCUGUAGAAAUAGGAAAGCAUUUUAAACUAGUAGAAGGGUUUUCACACUCGCUUCCUCAAUGAGGCGCCGUCUUGCUUUGCCUCUGUUCUUAAAGAUGACUGCAAACCUGGUUCGAUCGGGAUUCUCCAUAUGCACCUACGCUGCAAAGCACAUCCGCCCGGCCGGAGGAGGUGCCGGCUGCCGGCGGUGUUGGCAGAGCCUCGCUUGUCCGGCCGCUCUGGGCCUUGCCGGGACACGUCGCAUUUCUUGUCCACCGCUUUGGGCGUGUCUCCCCAGCGUGGGGAGCCCCCCAAGACCGGCCGAACCCAUUCUCGAGCCCCCGCUGCCGAGGAACGCACCGUGCCGGCGGUGCGGGGCAGUGCGGGGCGGGGCGGGCUCGGGCGCGGCGCCGCCGGGAGCCGCUGAAGGGAGGACUUCAAAGGAGCCGUCGGGGGCGAGAGGAGGCGGACAAAGCAAGCGCCAGGCUACCGAACACGGGGCUCCGCCGGCGAAUUUUAAGGCGCUUUAAGUCUAAAGGAGAAGUGACAAGGCAAUCAUCUCCUCGGCUCGGCUGCGGAUGGGAGGGCGGAAUCUUGCUAACAGCUCGUGUAUCUGUAUAUUUAAUUGCGACCUGGCUGCAUGUUCCUGUUGAGGAAGGAUGCAGAUCACAAGCGAAUCUAUAAAAACGCGGUUGACAAGCCCGGGAAAGGGAUAACUGACAGAUGAAACGAGAGUCAGCGCGGAGCUAACUGGCAAACGCAUUGGUACAAAGUCAGAUACCUUCUGAGAGGAGGAGUAGUUUGUUUUAUUGCCGUGCUCCAGAGUUUUAUCUCCUAUCGAUGUGAUGGGGUAGAGAGGAGCUAAUGUGCACUGUUUAGGAUACAAACAUGCAGAUUAGAUCAGACUUCAGACACAGUGUUUCACUCAAGAUUUAGGACAGUCGGAGGAAUAAACCAGGCUUCCCCCACCGAGGAAAACAUGGAAUUUUCUUUUAAUGUUUUAUGGGGAUUUAAACUUCUUUAAACACAACUGCUGUGCAUACGGAUUUAGGGAGCUAUCGGGAUUUGAUAGGGUCGGGAGCUGGGGCCCGGAGCUCAUCGCCACCGUUGUGCAAGGCUGGGGCGCUGGUAGAGCAUCAACCCGGCUCCCGUUUUCUUCACUUUUGUGUUACUUUAAGUUUUCAGUGAGGCUAGUGUAAUUACGAGGCGUUUAACUUUUUGCCAGGCUCUUUCAUUAUGGCUUUGCAUUUGCACCUCGCUUUUAAGAGAAGUAAUAACAUUCACAGUCAGGGGCAAAUCCCGUUAAUGAACAAAUUAAAGUUCAAAACAGUUAUUCAAGUUCACAGCCCCGCUCGCUGCUCCUUUAAUAAGAGUUAUACAUGUUACUUUCUCUCGGGAUCACUCCCCCUUUUAUUACUUUUUAAGCUUUUCAUAAGCACUAGCGGGCUGUACGGGCAGCUCCCAGCCUCUAAAGAGCCCACAAAUCCUGAAUGGAGCCCUAAUCCGACCUUAAUUUGGCAACUUUUGUAAAAAACAUAAAAGCUCGGGUGCCACCCUUGUGCGCUCAGAUUAUAAUGCCGCAGGGAACAAGCCGGGGGAAGGCCCCCUCUAUCCCGCACCCACCUAUUUGAGUUGGUUCCCUCCCCUCAGGAGCUGUGCAAAAAGCCUCUGUUCGUGCCUCACGGGCACCGGGAGAGAAAUUAGGAUCGAUACCCUGGAAAUUUCCCCCCCCCGCCACGAUAGCUCUACCAGGCUCUGCUGGGCGUGGGCUGCCGGGGCGGCCGGUGCCCCCAGCCCGUCCCGCAGCGCUGCCCUUGGGCCGGUUGCCUGCCUCAAGUGUUAGCGACGUGCAGUAAAAAAAAAAAAAAAAAAAAAAAAAAAGAAAGAUAAAUCCUUGCGUUCUUCCUCUCUUCCCGCCCCCUGCCCCCGGCUCCUCUUCUCUUUCUUCAAACCUUUCGCGAUUAGAGUGUCUGCACUCACCUCGGUAUUUGCAUAACAUGAAUCUAAAUUCCCCUUGUCAGGGGCUGCCCCGGCCCAGGGCAGCCGCGGCUCCCGGUGGGACCGGGCGGGGAGGGGGAGGCCCCUCCCGCGGAGCCGGGCUCUGGGCCGGGGGCGGCGGGCAGAGUCCAACAAAGCCCGGGGAAUUUGACACUGGUUCAAGGCAGCGCCAGUGCAAAAGCGCUGUCUAUGUACAAAUAGAGGAGAUCACACUCCCCAUUAUCUACCUCCUGGCGAGUGUUUGAUUUGUGACAUCAAAAGCUUAUCAAGGCAAGCUCACCAAAAAAAAAAAAAAAAAAAAAGAAAGAAAGAAAAAAAAAAGAGAGAAAAAGAAGGAGGAAAAAGAAGUACCUCUUCAUGGAGGGAGAUCCCUAUGGUUUGGGUGAUGUAAAGGAGGGAGGAAGGGGCCGGUGUUGUCAAAACGCUGCCGGUGCCAGGGAGGCGAUUCCUGCCCCGCCCGUGUCCCCGCGGGCCGAACGGCGGGGCGCUGGUGCGGGGCCGGCCGCGGGCGCACAGAGCAGCGGGCGGGCGGGCUGGCCCCGGCGGACGGCUGGAGGGAGGCCCUGAUUCCUCGCAGCCAUCCACACAGAAGUGGUUUGAUAUAAUCACCAUGACAACUGCCGCCUAUAAGCAUACAAAUAAUAGAGAUGAAAUAGACAAAAGAUUAGCAUGCCAUGAAAAGUACAAUAAGUUUCUUAUUUAGCAUUUAGAUAACUGUCUUUCCUUCGGAGCAGGCUUCAAAGUUGAACCCAGUUUAGACCAAGAGGAUUAAUUCUUUCUCCCGCAUGCUUCAUUGAAUCUCUCAUUACCAAACUUUGUCUGUAUUGAUGUAAGAUUUGAUUGAAGAUUAGAGCAUUUAGCAAAUCUUGCUUUUCUGCAUGUAUCAGGCCUUUUCAAGCGCAGACCGCGCUGCCCAGUGGUCAAUACCCUUACUUUUAUCCAGUGUCUGCUUCAUUUAAACUUAAUCAACUCCCUCAAUGAACUGGAACAGGGAAACGUCCCUGAGGUAAGAAUGUUGUGCUUUUCUUAGAUAAUUCUUUGCUCCCUCUCCCAAUCCGCUGGCGUUAAACCUAAAAUUGCUCUCUGAUGAACUUAAUCAAUAUGAUAAUGACAAUUGGGGCUGAAUGGCUCGGCCUGUGCUCAGCACGGAAAAGGUAGACGGCUGUGCCCCUUGCCCAAAAGCAACUUCUCCUUUCUCGCCUCUCCUUUUGUGUUCACUUCUCUCACCUUUCUUUCUCUCUCUCCCCCUCUUCCCCCCUCCGUGACACCGACCGCUGUUCACGCUGGAGAAUGAUGCUUCUUUGUGCGGCAGGAGGACUCGUAUGUCACCGCCCGGAGGAGCGGAGCGGAGCGAUUGGCCGGGUGAAUUAUCUGCCUUGUUGCAGUGAAUUAUUUGCGCUGUUUCCUUUCCCAGUCAACAAGUUUCUGAGGUAUAGAGCAGAUCAAUCAAAGCUGACAGAGCGCAUGUGAAGCUUUUACUGUGUAAAUCUGGACCUCUUGUCCCGGCUUCGUUGGCACUGGCAUCUGUAUAUCAUUUUUAUACUGCUACCAGUAGAGCAAUUUCAAAAGUAUUUGCAAGGAAAAUGGAUGUCCCCAUCUGUUCCUGGAAUCAUAAAUGUGCCACUUUCGGAGGGUUUUCACUGGUAAUCAUAUCUUUAAUGAUGAACAAACUUGUGAUAUAUACCUUUCCAUAAAAUGGGGUUUUCUUCACUUUAUUGUGAUUGGCUGGGAUAAAUAGCUUUUCCAUAUGUUAGGAAGAUAAAACAUAAGAUUACCAGACCUCGUUUGUUUGAUCAUAAACAAAAGAAACAAUUCGCUCCAAACACUCUUUAAACAGAAACAACUGCAGAAUUAAGUUGUAUUAAUAAGCUAUCGAUGGGUCAAGAGGCAAACAACUGUCUCCAUAGAAAAGACAGCUGGUUUAAAAUACGAAUAGUCGGUCCUUCUCACUAUUCGGGUGACCUUAAUGUAGACGCGGAUUUUAAAUACUCGAUGCUAAUUUUGUUUUCCUUAAGAUUGUCUUGCUUUUAUGUCCACUGAUUUUUUCUCUAGCUUGACUUUGAAUUUCCUUAAGUGCCAGAGUGAGGAUACGGUGCUGGGUAGUGCAUUGCCGUGAGCUAUAUUUAGAAAGCAGCUGGAAGAGAAAACGUCCUCAGGAAUCCGAACUGUUUUGUUGUAAAUGUCCCUCCAGUCCCAGCACUGUAAACAUAAACGCUCUUUCUGCAGACGGGAGCGCUGGGUAAGGAUGGGCUCGGGGAGCCACUGUUGACCCCACGGCACUCCCCAGCAGCCUUAGAGGUGUCCAGGGCAAUGAGAGGUGCCGUGGCCAGGGAUGCCCGGCGGCGUGGCUGCCAGCCCACCCUCGCGGUGGAGGCAGCGGCGCCUGGGUUUCUCCCCGCCAGAGGCUCCCCUCUCCGCCCGGGGGAAUUGUCGGAUGCCCCCAUUUCUCCGUGUGAGUGCCUCAGCAGCAGGUUCACUGCCCGUUUAGGCGGGACAGCCCUCCCCGCCCGCCGCCGCCCCGGGCCGGGCACUCCGCGUCCGUGGGCGCUGGCGGAGCCGGUGCACUACGGCGGGGUCGGGUGGCACGGACAGCCCUUCCCCGCCCCUGGAGCAGCAACAGCACCCUCAGACCCACUGCCCGCUCCCUGCAAGGAGUGAGGGUCGAUGCUAAACGAGGUCUCGCCCGCUGGGGCUUGGCCCUUCGGAAAUGGAGACAGGGUUCCCGGGGCAGCCCGUGCCGAAGGGCCAUCCCCGCCUGGCCGUCGUUCAGGGUGCGAGCCCCAGCGGCACUGAGACAGUGCCGGGGUACGCUCUGCUCCGCGCCUUGGGGACCCCGCGCCUUGGGGACCCCGCGCCAGACCCCGAGGCCCGACGGGGCGGGCGGCUGCACACGCCAUCCCGAAACCCUCGUGUGUUCAGCGGCCAGGCAGCUCUGCCCGCUCCCCAGACGGCAAAGGGGGCAAUUGCCGCGACACCGCGAUGGAAGGAGACGCCUCCGAGCCCCUUCCUCCAGGCCUAUGCCUCUCGGUGGGCACAGGGAGCCGGGGCAGCGCUGAGCGGGCGGGUCCCAGCUGAGAGCAGGGAGAGCGGCAGCCUCCAAGGGCGGGGCUUCCCAGCCUCGCCCGCACCGCACCGCGUUCCCGCGGCCGAGGGGGAUGAAUUGGUACCGGCGGGCGGGAAAGUGAGGAAGUUAACAUCUCUUAAGGCCUGAAGAGACCAUUAAAUCAUCUGUCUGGCCUUCUGCAUUACAGGGCCGUAUAACUCCAUCCAGUCCUAAGGCAUUAAGCCAGAUAAUUUGUGUUCGAGUAAAAUGUGCCUUCAAGAAAGUCUCAUGGUCCUGAGGGUUUCAAGAGAUGGAGAUUUUGCUCUUGUCCCGAAGAGUUUGUUGCGGCAGUUAACCCUUGUUUAAGGGAUGAGCCUCGUUUCCAUGACACACUGCCCUUGUUGAAAUUACUCCCAAUUGCCAGGCUUUUGUUUUGGAACCUCCUAGUCCCGUUGUUGCAGCUGCGGCAACCUCGGCUUCUCCCUUCCUUUCACACGGGUGUCGUGCCUAAUGUUAGCACAGACGAGGCCCUGGCCCCUCCUCAGGCUGCCUGGGGUCUCCUGAGGCAUCCAACACCUACCUAAGUCAGCCUGCCUGGUGACAGGAACAAGGAAGAGUCCCAGCACUUCAAACUGGGUAGGCCAAUGGGACAUACCAUUUAAAACCACUGUUUGAGGGCCCAAUCCUGCUUUACUGUGAAAUCACGGGCCAACACGCCUUUCUAACCAAGCCAACGCAAAAUGGGAGAAGGACGAGAUACCUUCUUGAGAACCUCUGUUCUCUCCGCUGGGCAGGCAAAGCCUGAAGAUGCCUGGAUGUGAGUGAUUGGGGUGCUGUGGGCUUGGAGUAUUCGUAGAAGAGGAGAAUAUUUUAUCUGUUGAUCACCUAGGGCUCAAAAGAUUUUAUUUCUCUAGUAGGUCGUUGCUGCCCUCUGUCCUAGGGCAAUGCUGUUGGCAGCAGGAUGAAGCCAACCCCGCUUCAGAGGAGUAGGUCCCCAGCUGCUGGCGCCGGCCCGAGGCUUCUAAUGUGAGGAAAAACACGCGGUGACAAGUGUGGAAAAGAGCAAGCACUAAAUUACUGUCAGAAAAAUAAACGGCGGAGCGCGGCGCGGGGCGGUGAUUUACGGGGGCAAUUAGUCACCGCCCCACCGAGCCGCUGGGGCCGGCGGGGCCGCCGCAGCCUCCCCUGAGGCUGGCCCGGCUCUCGCUCAUGGCCUAGGCCGGCACCCAGCACGGGCAUCCAGGGUUCGUCCCGCUCCUGCGGCUCAUUUUUUGCCUAUCCCAAAAACAGGCGUGUGGGAGGAGGAAGGAGCCACCCCAAAAGCCACAGUCCAUGUUUGCAGAGAGGGUGGGGAUGCCGCGGGCCUGCUUAUUCGUUGUGGCCAGUGGCUGGUGCCCAGGUGUAGGGUGAUUAAAGAAGUCAUGAAGUGCUGUUAAAUGAAAAAUACUCUUGGAGAACGAAAGCUGGAAAGCUGCUGGGCUGGGUGAGAGGGUGGAGGUGGCUCCACAGCUGCUGCAUGUCUUCUGGAGGUGCUGUGGGCCAUUAAGCCUUCCAGUCUUGGAGAAGGGCCAGCUCUGCUGCUAGCUGGGAGUGGAUAUUAUAAACAUAUCUUAAUGCUGUUGUUUCACCAGGGUGGAGUCCAGGAGAGAGAUGUUUUAAUUUUAAGCUAGCAGGAAAGAAAUGAUGGACAAUUCAAGCUCUGGCUCAGCCUGGGACCAUGACAGUGAGCCCCCAGCCAGCAUGUUGUGGGCUUUUGUAACUUUCUGCCCCAUGUGUUCUUGUUGACCCAGCAAUCCUUACUUAGUUGGUGCCUGUAUGUCAGUUUUCACUUUCUAAGGCCUUAUUGGCCACCUAGGCCUUAUGUCCAUCCCCUGAGCAGGGGCAGCAUUAUCUGACUUUAGAUGCACGCUGUCAUUAGACCUGCCAGCCUGGUGUCUGGCUCCUCCAAAUAGUUGGCACUUGGAUAAUGGGAGACAGCCUGUCCGAGCUCGCUGCAACAGCUUGGUGCCAGCCAGCCCUGCAAGGACCGGUGCCAGCAGCAGUCCUUGCCAGGGCCUGCUCAUCAAACAGACCGGCAGCUGACCCAUGGCUGCUACUGUGGGACAAAGGGAAAAGCAGCAGAGCAAGUCCCUCUUGACAUGGCACCCCUUGGGAAAGACAAGCACGUGCCUUUUGGAAGAGGAGGCAAGCUGGAGGAUGAAGAGCUGUUGCAGGUCCCAGUGGUUUCGGUAAGAGGCCUUCUCUCCCUGCUCCACUUUCCCAGCUGGUGGGUGGGAUGUGAUACCUGCCUUUGGGAAGAACUCGAGACUUAUGAAUGAUCACAGAGGAUCAUCAGUGGUUAUUUUGGGGUUUGCCCUUAGCUGCCUCUUUGUUUUCUAGAAGUGGUUCUUGUAGGGACAUGGGUAUGUGCUCAUGAGGUGCUUCUGGUGCUCCCUUCCCUCACGAGGCACAGCCCCAUUCCUCCCUGAGGUUGUUAGGCAGUCUCCUAAUAAGUGAUGUGACCAGCAUAUCUCACGUGUAAUUUUCUUAUUUCCAUGGGAAAAAUUGUUUAUGUUCUUCAAAUAAAUAAUAAAUAUCUUUCAUUCUUGUC
Molecule: long non-coding RNA, 9253 nt
Organism: Corvus hawaiiensis (hawaiian crow)
Lineage: Eukaryota; Metazoa; Chordata; Aves; Passeriformes; Corvidae
Exons: 3
Source: RefSeq, a predicted model, not a curated record